UACGAAGGGUGCAAGCGUUACUCGGAAUUACUGGGCGUAAAGCGUGCGUAGGUGGUGAGUUAAGUCUGUCGUGAAAGCCCCGGGCUCAACCUGGGAAUGGCGAUGGAUACUGGCUCGCUAGAGUACGGUAGAGGGGGAUGGAAUUCCGCGUGUAGCAGUGAAAUGCGUAGAUAUGCGGAGGAACACCGAUGGCGAAGGCAAUCCCCUGGACCUGUACUGACGCUCAUGCACGAAAGCGUGGGGAGCAAACAGG
RNAcentral lists this ribosomal RNA (253 nucleotides) under uncultured bacterium. Its description in RNAcentral is "partial 16S ribosomal RNA". It matches the Rfam family "Bacterial small subunit ribosomal RNA", at positions 524 to 776 of the family's 1533-position model. The record is from RNAcentral.